UUCAGAGCUGUUGAUUCAGAAGACCUCCAUUUAUCACAGAACUGAUCCAGCACAGACAGUGGCAGUACAAGUUUACCUACACUGCCCUGAUGCAUCUCAACUCUGUUAGGAAAGAGCACAUCUAGGAGUGUUCGUUCAAAUCCAUUCAGUACUCUGUUAAA
RNAcentral lists this small RNA (161 nucleotides) under Gopherus agassizii (Agassiz's desert tortoise). Its description in RNAcentral is "TUC338 (ENSGAGG00000022932.1)". Lineage: Eukaryota; Metazoa; Chordata; Testudines; Testudinidae. The record is from RNAcentral.